GGGAGCCGUAACACAGGUGCUGCAUGGCUGUCGUCAGCUCGUGUCGUGAGAUGUUGGGUUAAGUCCCGCAACGAGCGCAACCCUUGUCCCUAGUUGCUACGCAAGAGCACUCCAGGGAGACUGCCGGUGACAAACCGGAGGAAGGUGGGGAUGACGUCAAGUCCUCAUGGCCCUUAUGGGUAGGGCUUCACACGUCAUACAAUGGUCGGAACAGAGGGUUGCCAAGCCGCGAGGUGGAGCCAAUCCCAGAAAACCGAUCGUAGUCCGGAUCGCAGUCUGCAACUCGACUGCGUGAAGCUGGAAUCGCUAGUAAUCGCGGAUCAGCAUGCCGCGGU
RNAcentral lists this ribosomal RNA (335 nucleotides) under Burkholderia sp. 45R. RNAcentral's name for it is "bacterial SSU rRNA". It matches the Rfam family "Bacterial small subunit ribosomal RNA", at positions 1022 to 1363 of the family's 1533-position model. The record is from RNAcentral. Lineage: Bacteria; Pseudomonadati; Pseudomonadota; Betaproteobacteria; Burkholderiales; Burkholderiaceae.